Long non-coding RNA from Sarcophilus harrisii (Tasmanian devil), 951 nucleotides. RefSeq lists it as uncharacterized. Lineage: Eukaryota; Metazoa; Chordata; Mammalia; Dasyuromorphia; Dasyuridae. The record is from RefSeq and is a predicted model, not a curated record. The transcript is spliced from 3 exons.
UUGGACUACUUGGUCUCAGAUUCCUUCCAAAUCUGUGAUUCUGUGCUUCCGCAAGUUUUUACUGGUCUCAAGAAAAAGAUUGGAACCUUGGAUGGUUGUUUCCAAUCUUGUUGCAUCUUGUAAUUUGAGAGAGCAGAAGUCAAUUCAUAGUCCAAUAUUCUUAGCGCAAUAGGAAAUUAACAUCAUCUUCAAAUCAUUUGUGGAAGUUGCAAAAUGCUCAUGAAUUAAGUUUGAUUUCCCUGAGAUUUUUCUAUGUACAUCCCUAUUACUAUGAUCCUAGAAACAAAUUUUGACCUUUGCAGCUCUUUUAUUCAAUUUAACAUUAUUUUUUUCUUUUUUAAAACAGGUUUUUACUGUACUUAUUGAACAAUACAGGAGUCUUGGGGGCCAAAAUAACACUUGCAAAAUGCCCAUGAAUUUUAACCAAAGACUGCAGAGCUAGAUGAUUAAAAGCUUUGAAUUUUCAAAGAGCAACAUGAUUAAUCCAGGACCACAGUGCUGAGUGGCUUCACACUGGCUUCAUUUGUAGACCUCUGAUUUUAUUCAUGUAGCAAACUCUCUCUACAAAUGUAGGCUAGCAACUGCUUGGGAACCUGUUAUCACAGAGAGCUGUCUUGGACUGAGAACUUAAGUCACUUGUUUAGGGCAACUGAGUCCUGUGUGUCAAAGGUGUGAAAACUGAGGAUCAGAGAAGGUAAGGGACUUCUUCAAAGUUCCAGAGCUAGUAAAUAUUAGAAGUGGUAUUUGAAAUGAGGUUUUCUGACUGCUUUGCCAGUGUUCCUUCCAUUUUAUUACAUUGCCUCCUAGACAUGUAAUAGACCCCCCCCCCCACACACACAUCAUGUUAUCAGCUGAUAAUUCCUUGCAAACUAAAAAUAAAUACCAUUUCAACAUUUGCUAUUAAAACAAGUAUAGUAAGGAAAUAGAGUUAUUGGCUCAGGAGCAGCAUUA